GAUGAACGCUGGCGGCGUGCCUAAUACAUGCAAGUCGAGCGAACAGACGAGGAGCUUGCUCUUCUGACGUUAGCGGCGGACGGGUGAGUAACACGUGGAUAACCUACCUUUAAGACUGGGAUAACUUCGGGAAACCGGAGCUAAUACCGGAUAAUAUAUUGAACCGCAUGGUUCAAUAGUGAAAGACGGUUUUGUUGUCACUUAUAGAUGGAUCCGCGCCGCAUUAGCUAGUUGGUAAGGUAACGGCUUACAAAGGCAACGAUGCGUAGCCGACCUGAGAGGGUGAUCGGCCACACUGGAACUGAGACACGGUCCAGACUCCUACGGGAGGCAGCAGUAGGGAAUCUUCCGCAAUGGGCGAAAGCCUGACGGAGCAACGCCGCGUGAGUGAUGAAGGUCUUCGGCUCGUAAAACUCUGUUAUUAGGGAAGAACAAAUGUGUAAGUAACUAUGCACGUCUUGACGGUACCUAAUCAGAAAGCCACGGCUAACUACGUG
Molecule: ribosomal RNA, 497 nt
Filed under: uncultured bacterium
Lineage: Bacteria
Description: partial 16S ribosomal RNA
Rfam family: Bacterial small subunit ribosomal RNA
Source: RNAcentral